GACGAACGCUGGCGGCGUGCUUAACACAUGCAAGUCGAACGGAAAGGCCCUGCUUGCAGGGUACUCGAGUGGCGAACGGGUGAGUAACACGUGGGUGAUCUGCCCUGCACUUCGGGAUAAGCCUGGGCAACUGGGUCUAAUACCGGAUAGGAGCCAUUUUUAGUGUGAUGGUUGGAAAGUUUUGUCGGUGUUGGAUGAGCUGGCGGCCUAUCAGCUUGUUGGGGGGGUAAUGGCCUACCAAGGCGGCGACGGGUAGCCGGCCUGAGAGGGUGGACGGCCACAUUGGGACUGAGAGACGGCCCAGACUCCUACGGGAGGCAGCAGUGGGGAAUAUUGCACGAUGGGCGCAAGCCUGAUGCAGCGGCGCCGCGUGGGGGAUGACGGCCUUCGGGUUGUAAACUCCUUUCGCUAGGGACGAAGCUUUUUGUGACGGUACCUAGAUAAGAAGCACCGGCUAACUACGUG
Molecule: ribosomal RNA, 465 nt
Filed under: uncultured bacterium
Lineage: Bacteria
Description: partial 16S ribosomal RNA
Rfam family: Bacterial small subunit ribosomal RNA
Source: RNAcentral